This 308-nucleotide long non-coding RNA is filed under the name Bos taurus (domestic cattle). Its description in RNAcentral is "long non-coding RNA NONBTAT016307". The record is from RNAcentral. Lineage: Eukaryota; Metazoa; Chordata; Mammalia; Artiodactyla; Bovidae.
UGCUGAUAUACCAUUUCCUUAGUUUCCUUAGCUUCAGCUAAGUCAUAGGCCAGACUCUGUUGAAAUAAGAAAUGUGAACAUCAUUUGAAGAAAACUGUUGCAAUUCCAAAGUCAAAGGAAUUGCUCACUUCAGAUUUUUGUCUCUCCAAUGAACAGCGGGUCUGAAUGUGCAUAGUGGUCCAAGUUUGGGGAAUGGAGCAUACUUGCCGUUAAUCACAUAUGUAGUAUCAUUUCCCAGACACUGGACCACACCUUUUUUCCAUUUAUUUAAUAGUUGUUAACAACAUGAAAAGCAAGUCUUUAAAUGG